GCUUCCAUGGCGCAAUGGAUAGCGCAUCUGACUUCUAAUCAGGAGGUUGCGGGUUCGAGUCCCGCUGGAAGUG
RNAcentral lists this transfer RNA (73 nucleotides) under Coccomyxa subellipsoidea C-169. It matches the Rfam family "tRNA". Rfam says of the family: Transfer RNA (tRNA) molecules are approximately 80 nucleotides in length. Their secondary structure includes four short double-helical elements and three loops (D, anti-codon, and T loops). Further hydrogen bonds mediate the characteristic L-shaped molecular structure. tRNAs have two regions of fundamental functional importance: the anti-codon, which is responsible for specific mRNA codon recognition, and the 3' end, to which the tRNAs corresponding amino acid is attached (by aminoacyl-tRNA synthetases). tRNAs cope with the degeneracy of the genetic code in two manners: having more than one tRNA (with a specific anti-codon) for a particular amino acid; and 'wobble' base-pairing, i.e. permitting non-standard base-pairing at the 3rd anti-codon position. RNAcentral also lists the same sequence under 1 other name. Lineage: Eukaryota; Viridiplantae; Chlorophyta; Trebouxiophyceae; Coccomyxaceae. The record is from Rfam by way of RNAcentral.